RNAcentral lists this ribosomal RNA (497 nucleotides) under uncultured bacterium. Its description in RNAcentral is "partial 16S ribosomal RNA". It matches the Rfam family "Bacterial small subunit ribosomal RNA", at positions 28 to 507 of the family's 1533-position model. The record is from RNAcentral.
GAUGAACGCUGGCGGCGUGCCUAAUACAUGCAAGUCGAGCGAACGGACGAGAAGUUUGCUUCUCUGAUGUUAGCGGCGGACGGGUGAGUAACACGUGUAUAACCUACCUAUAAGACUGGGAUAACUUCGGGAAACCGGAGCUAAUACCGGACGAUAUUUUGAACCGCAUGGUUCAAAAGUGAAAGACGGUCUUGCUGUCACUUAUAGAUGGAUCCGCGCUGCAUUAGCUAGUUGGUAAGGUAACGGCUUACCAAGGCAACGAUGCAUAGCCGACCUGAGAGGGUGAUCAGCCACACUGGAACUGAGACACGGUCCAGACUCCUACGGGAGGCAGCAGUAGGGAAUCUUCGGCAAUGGGCGAAAGCCUGACGGAGCAACGCCGCGUGAGUGAUGAAGGUCUUCGGAUCGUAAAGCUCUGUUAUUAGGGAGGAACAUAUGUGUAAGUAACUCUGCACAUCUUGACGGUACCUACUCAGAAAGCCACGGCUAACUACGUG